CAUGGUCAAAGGCCUUCCUCACUGUAUCUAACUUCCAGGGCAGAACUUGACAAGAAAUUCCACAAAGCCAAGGCCACCAGAAAGACAGGCCUGGGGCUCCGCUUCCCAGAGACACCGGGUCAGGAGGGUGACGUGCUGCUGACGUGGCUCCUGGGGCCGCAGCCCACACAGCCUUCUGCCGAAACGUCACCAGCGCUGAGCCCAGACUUGCCCUGAACCCUCCGAAGCCCAUGUCCCCCGUCCUGCUGCUGAAACAGAACCCGGGCUGUCAGCUCACGCCCAGCGGCACAUUGGAGGCUGGGAGUCUACCACCGAGGCACCGGCGGGGUUGGGGUCUGGCGAGGGCUUUUCUGGACCACAGAUGCCAAGCUCUUGCUCUGUCCUUACAUGGUAGAGGGGACAGACACCUUUCUGGGCCGCUUGUAUGAAGGCUCUAAUCCCAUUCACGGAGCUGUCCCCGUUCACAACCGCGUCACCUCUCAAUGGCCUCCCCACUGACACCACCAUCUUGGGGGUUAGGAUCUCAAUACGGGGAACCUGGUAGCGGCCCCCAAUCCUCCAGGCCUGCAGCUCUGAGGGCGGGAGUGGGGCAGCCGUCCACGGCGAGGGUUCCCCCUGUGGAAAUCUGGGGCUGGCUCUCAGGUCUCUCAAAUGAUGGGCUCCAGCCCCCCACGCCACCAGGAGAAUCUGCUGUGGGUAAGUCACCGGGUCCUUGACCUGAACCACCUCUACACAAUCCCGGCACAGCGGCACCUGGCUCAGUGGGUGAGGAAAUCCCUGGGGACACUGGCCCAGCCUGGGGGACAUAUCAGACUGACCAUCGCAGACCCAGGCCAGCCCAAUGGCCUAGGAGUGGCGUUGGGGUUCACUGCCCCAACAGGGGCGAAGACGGGCAGCAAGGGCUCUGGCUGCACGGGCCUGGUGGAGCCGGGCAGGUGCCUCGGGGAGCCUGACCACACGAGCUUGCUUCCAGGGGCAGAUUUUGGUGUGGGCUUGUAAGUAAUCACUGUCACCUUCUCUGUAGUCAUUCAGAUGCUCCUGUGGGCUGGGGCUGGGCUCAGGGGCAUGUGAGA
This 1073-nucleotide long non-coding RNA is filed under the name Marmota monax (woodchuck). The record is from RNAcentral. Lineage: Eukaryota; Metazoa; Chordata; Mammalia; Rodentia; Sciuridae.